This 77-nucleotide transfer RNA is filed under the name Lysobacteraceae bacterium. RNAcentral describes it as "Xanthomonadaceae bacterium tRNA-Arg". It matches the Rfam family "tRNA". From Rfam's summary of the family: Transfer RNA (tRNA) molecules are approximately 80 nucleotides in length. The record is from RNAcentral. Lineage: Bacteria; Pseudomonadati; Pseudomonadota; Gammaproteobacteria; Lysobacterales; Lysobacteraceae.
GUCCCGGUAGCUCAGCUGGAUAGAGCGACGGCCUCCUAAGCCGUAGGUCCCAGGUUCGACUCCUGGUCGGGACACCA